UGGGCUAUGCUGGACUUGAACCAGCGACCUCUGUCUUAUCAGGACAGCGCUCUAACCACCUGAGCUAAUAGCCC
Molecule: transfer RNA, 74 nt
Filed under: Bryopsis hypnoides
Lineage: Eukaryota; Viridiplantae; Chlorophyta; Ulvophyceae; Bryopsidales; Bryopsidaceae
Description: tRNA-Ile
Source: RNAcentral